Molecule: long non-coding RNA, 721 nt
Filed under: Prunus persica (peach)
Lineage: Eukaryota; Viridiplantae; Streptophyta; Magnoliopsida; Rosales; Rosaceae
Description: long non-coding RNA (PPER_LNC000075)
Source: RNAcentral
UCUGAUUCAAAUCAUAAGGGACAAUAUUAGAACAAAAAACGAUUUUAAAAAUAAAAUAUGUCCAAAACACAAUGAAAAAGGAAAAAAGAAAAAAAAAGAAAGGGCCACCACUACCCACACCGGCCAACUCCCAACCACAUUCCUUUUUUCUCAAGCUUUUCUCUUUGUGCUUUUUUCAUUAUCAUUGACUAUCUCUCACUCUCUCAAAUUGGUACAAGUAAAUUCCAUUACAUUCAUUCAGCAACGAAACCUUGAAAGGAUCUCUCUCCCUCUCUGUAUUCUUUGAUUCAUUUGGUGAAAACCCAUUUGUUUUAGAGGCAAAAGAAGGGAUGUGAAGUGGGCAUAAGCCAUGGCAGCUUCAAAACCAGAAGAGAUAAGCCAUCCACCAAUGGACAACCCUCCACAAUUUGUUUGGAAAAUUAAUUUGUCUCUCAAAUUUCAAAUUAUUUCUCUUUAUGCUUUAAUUAAUUAGGAUGGAUUGUUGGAUUUUGGUUAAUUGAUUGAGUUUUUGUUGUGGUUAUUUUGUAUAGAUUUUUUUGAAUUUAUUUAUUUGUAUAUAUUUUUAGUUUUUAAUUAAUUAAUUAAGAUUGUUGUGGUUUGAUUAAAUGAUUAAUAUGGUGAAUUGGUUAAUAUUUCAGUGUGGUGUUUAUUUGUAUAUAAUUAACAUGGUGAAUUGGUUAAUGUGAUUAAUAUAAUGUUUUUAGCUUUUUUAAAUAUCGUU